This 898-nucleotide ribosomal RNA is filed under the name [Anthodidymella] ranunculacearum (nom. inval.). RNAcentral describes it as "SSU rRNA". It matches the Rfam family "Eukaryotic small subunit ribosomal RNA", at positions 200 to 1103 of the family's 1831-position model. The record is from RNAcentral. Lineage: Eukaryota; Fungi; Ascomycota; Dothideomycetes; Pleosporales; Didymellaceae.
GGUGUAUUUAUUAGAUAAAAAACCAACGCCCUUCGGGGCUUCUUGGUGAUUCAUGAUAACUUCACGGAUCGCAUGGCCCUGCGCCGGCGACGGUUCAUUCAAAUUUCUGCCCUAUCAACUUUCGAUGGUAAGGUAUUGGCUUACCAUGGUUUCAACGGGUAACGGGGAAUUAGGGUUCGAUUCCGGAGAGGGAGCCUGAGAAACGGCUACCACAUCCAAGGAAGGCAGCAGGCGCGCAAAUUACCCAAUCCCGACACGGGGAGGUAGUGACAAUAAAUACUGAUACAGGGCUCUUUUGGGUCUUGUAAUUGGAAUGAGUACAAUUUAAACCUCUUAACGAGGAACAAUUGGAGGGCAAGUCUGGUGCCAGCAGCCGCGGUAAUUCCAGCUCCAAUAGCGUAUAUUAAAGUUGUUGCAGUUAAAAAGCUCGUAGUUGAAACUUGGGCCUGGCUGGCAGGUCCGCCUCACCGCGUGUACUUGUCCGGCCGGGCCUUUCCUUCUGGAGAACCUCAUGCCCUUCACUGGGUGUGUUGGGGAACCAGGACUUUUACUUUGAAAAAAUUAGAGUGUUCAAAGCAGGCCUUUGCUCGAAUACGUUAGCAUGGAAUAAUAGAAUAGGACGUGCGGUCCUAUUUUGUUGGUUUCUAGGACCGCCGUAAUGAUUAAUAGGGACAGUCGGGGGCAUCAGUAUUCAAUUGUCAGAGGUGAAAUUCUUGGAUUUAUUGAAGACUAACUACUGCGAAAGCAUUUGCCAAGGAUGUUUUCAUUAAUCAGUGAACGAAAGUUAGGGGAUCGAAGACGAUCAGAUACCGUCGUAGUCUUAACCGUAAACUAUGCCGACUAGGGAUCGGGCGAUGUUCUUUUUCUGACUCGCUCGGCACCUUACGAGAAAUCAAAG